Molecule: ribosomal RNA, 429 nt
Filed under: uncultured archaeon
Lineage: Archaea
Description: bacterial SSU rRNA
Rfam family: Archaeal small subunit ribosomal RNA
Source: RNAcentral
UACCGGCGGCUCGAGUGGUGACCAUUUUUAUUGGGCUUAAAGCGUUCGUAGCUGGAUUGUUAAGUCUCUUGGGAAAUCUAACGGCUCAACCGUUAGGCGUCUAAGGGAUACUGGCAAUCUAGGGACCGGAAGAGGUGAGAGGUACUCCUGGGGUAGGAGUGAAAUCCUGUAAUCCUAGGGGGACCACCUGUGGCGAAGGCGUCUCACCAGGACGGCUCCGACAGUGAGGGACGAAAGAUGGGGGAGCAAACCGGAUUAGAUACCCGGGUAGUCCCAGCCGUAAACGAUGCGCGUUAGGUGUAUCAGCGACCACGAGUCGCUGAGGUGCCGAAGGGAAACCGUGAAACGUGCCGCCUGGGAAGUACGGUCGCAAGGCUGAAACUUAAAGGAAUUGGCGGGGAGCACCACAACGGGUGGAGCCUGCGGUUU